This 66-nucleotide transfer RNA is filed under the name Gyrinus substriatus. RNAcentral's name for it is "tRNA-Cys". It matches the Rfam family "tRNA". From Rfam's summary of the family: Transfer RNA (tRNA) molecules are approximately 80 nucleotides in length. Their secondary structure includes four short double-helical elements and three loops (D, anti-codon, and T loops). Further hydrogen bonds mediate the characteristic L-shaped molecular structure. tRNAs have two regions of fundamental functional importance: the anti-codon, which is responsible for specific mRNA codon recognition, and the 3' end, to which the tRNAs corresponding amino acid is attached (by aminoacyl-tRNA synthetases). tRNAs cope with the degeneracy of the genetic code in two manners: having more than one tRNA (with a specific anti-codon) for a particular amino acid; and 'wobble' base-pairing, i.e. permitting non-standard base-pairing at the 3rd anti-codon position. Lineage: Eukaryota; Metazoa; Arthropoda; Insecta; Coleoptera; Gyrinidae. The record is from RNAcentral.
AGUUAAAUAGUUUAAAUAAAAUAUUAAAUUGCAAAUUUAAGGAUAGAAUUUAAUUUCUUUUAGCUU